Molecule: ribosomal RNA, 468 nt
Filed under: uncultured bacterium
Lineage: Bacteria
Description: partial 16S ribosomal RNA
Rfam family: Bacterial small subunit ribosomal RNA
Source: RNAcentral
GACGAACGCUGGCGGCGUGCUUAACACAUGCAAGUCGAACGGAAAGGCCCUGCUGUUGUCUGCUUCUCUAGUGGCUAACGGAUGGGUAACUAGUGAUUAGCCUGCCCUUUACUUUGGGAUAACUUCAGGAAACUAGGGCUACUACCGGAUCGUAACUCCUGCUGCCUGGUGGGGGUUGGAUUGUUUCGGCGGUUGGGGAUGGACUCGCGGCUUAUCAGCUUGUUGGUGGGGUAGUGGCUUACAAAGGCUUUGACGGGUAGCCGGCCUGAGAGGGUGACCGGGGACAAUAGGACUGAGAGACGGACCAGACUCAUAUGGGAGGCAGCAGGGGGGAAUAUUGUACAACGGGCGGAAGCCUGAUGCAGCAACGCCGCGUGCGGGAUGACGGCCUUCGGGUGGGAAACCGAUUACGGCUGAGACGAAGAGUGAGUGACGGUAAUGGGUAAAGAAGCACCGGCUAACUACGUG